ACAGCAGCCGCCGCGGUAAUACGUAGGGUGCGAGCGUUAAUCGGAAUUACUGGGCGUAAAGCGUGCGCAGGCGGUUUUGUAAGACAGGCGUGAAAUCCCCGGGCUCAACCUGGGAAUGGCGCUUGUGACUGCAAAGCUAGAGUGCGGCAGAGGGGGAUGGAAUUCCGCGUGUAGCAGUGAAAUGCGUAGAUAUGCGGAGGAACACCGAUGGCGAAGGCAAUCCCCUGGGCCUGCACUGACGCUCAUGCACGAAAGCGUGGGGAGCAAACAGGAUUAGAUACCCCAGUAGUCCCUGUCUCUUAUAC
Molecule: ribosomal RNA, 305 nt
Filed under: uncultured bacterium
Lineage: Bacteria
Description: partial 16S ribosomal RNA
Rfam family: Bacterial small subunit ribosomal RNA
Source: RNAcentral